CCUACGGGAGGCAGCAGUGAGGAAUAUUGGUCAAUGGGCUUACGCCUGAACCAGCCAAGUCGCGUGAGGGAAGACUGCCCUAUGGGUUGUAAACCUCUUUUGUCAGGGAGCAACGCCGGCUACGUGUAGCCGGACUGAGAGUACCUGAAGAAAAAGCAUCGGCUAACUCCGUGCCAGCAGCCGCGGUAAUACGGAGGAUGCGAGCGUUAUCCGGAUUUAUUGGGUUUAAAGGGUGCUUAGGCGGAAGGUUAAGUCAGCGGUCAAAUGUCGGUGCUCAACACCGGCCUGCCGUUGAAACUGGUCGUCUUGAGUGAGCGAGAAGUAUGCGGAAUGCGUGGUGUAGCGGUGAAAUGCAUAGAUAUCACGCAGAACUCCGAUUGCGAAGGCAGCAUACCGGCGCUCAACUGACGCUGAGGCACGAAAGCGUGGGGAUCGAACAGGAUUAGAUACCCGGGUAGUC
RNAcentral lists this ribosomal RNA (460 nucleotides) under uncultured bacterium. Its description in RNAcentral is "partial 16S ribosomal RNA". It matches the Rfam family "Bacterial small subunit ribosomal RNA", at positions 338 to 795 of the family's 1533-position model. The record is from RNAcentral.